UUGUAAUUAAGCCCAGAUAUAUAAGAGACAGCUUCUUUUUUCUGCACUGGGAAGGCACAUAGCAAGUUGAGCUAUCAGAAACUAGGGUUUUCUAGCAACAAAUACCUAAAGAUCUAAUUCCCAUCAUUCAGAAGGAGCACAAACUAAGGGAAAAGAGCAAGAAGGCAUCAGUGUGAGACAGUGGUUUCUAGGAAUAUAACCUACUUUCAGCAUGCUCAAUCCCUGCAGUGAAAUGGCACACAGAUGACAGCACUCAAUUAAGUUCAGAAUUAAUGUAGCAUGAAAGCACAGUCUUACCGAGAAGGCCGAGUGAAAUUGAACAGGAGGAUUGCAGACAGCAAAAGAGUAUCCAGCAAUCAUCUGGCAAAUCUGCAAUCAGACCAGACUUGGCAGUUAUUACUUCUCUACAUACAGGUUGUCACAUUCUGCUAACCCGGAAGAUCAAUCAGAGGCAAGUUUCUCCGACAGCUUGCAAACACGACUGUUUUCUUCACACUGUUUCAAUUCAGUGCUACUUCUGCCAUAGACAGACACAUAUUUCUAAAGCUAUUUAUUUUCCGUUGAAAUAGAUACAAAAUGCAAUAGCAAGGAGAAGGCUCAAUACUCAACCUAUUUAAACUAACACUCAAAAAUAUUUCACCUCGUUUUGCUGUAUCACAAGCAAGACUUGAGAAGUUACCUGUCUUUAGAGAUUGCCACACAUUCAUCCCUCCAGACUGCAGCAGCCCCAUCACAUCAGAUUCAUCUGCAGUGCAGUCUUACCUGCCAACCAUGCCAGCAGCAUUUGCUUCACAACUGAGAGAAAAGCGAGAAUAAACCCCAUGCUGACGACCCGGCA
This is a long non-coding RNA of Parus major (Great Tit), 838 nucleotides long. The record is from Ensembl. Lineage: Eukaryota; Metazoa; Chordata; Aves; Passeriformes; Paridae.